GACGAACGCUGGCGGCGUGCUUAACACAUGCAAGUCGAACGGAAAGGCCCUGCUUUUGUGGGGUGCUCGAGUGGCGAACGGGUGAGUAACACGUGAGUAACCUGCCCUUGACUUUGGGAUAACUUCAGGAAACUGGGGCUAAUACCGGAUAGGAGCUCCUGCUGCAUGGUGGGGGUUGGAAAGUUUCGGCGGUUGGGGAUGGACUCGCGGCUUAUCAGCUUGUUGGUGGGGUAGUGGCUUACCAAGGCUUUGACGGAUAGCCGGCCUGAGAGGGUGACCGGCCACAUUGGGACUAAGGGACGGACCAGACUCGAACGGGAGGCAGCAGUGGGAAAUAUUGCACAAUGAGAGCAAGCCUGAUGCGGAAACGCCGCGUGCGGGAUGACGUCCUUCGGGUUAUAAACCGCUUUCGCCUGUGACGAAGCGUGAGUGACGGUAAUGGGUAAAGAAGCACCGGCUAACUACGUG
Molecule: ribosomal RNA, 468 nt
Filed under: uncultured bacterium
Lineage: Bacteria
Description: partial 16S ribosomal RNA
Rfam family: Bacterial small subunit ribosomal RNA
Source: RNAcentral